CAGGAACCCCCCCUGGGGCUGCCCCCACCCCUGGGCCCGGGGCUGCUGGAGCUGCAGCAGCGCUGCUGGGAGAGCUGGAGCCUCUGGGCAGAGGUGACACACCUGAGGAACAGGUUCGCCCUGGACUGGCAGCCGGAGUUGGGGCUCCUGCAGGUCCUGGGGGGCCCCCGGGAUGCCCAGACCCUCUGGACGCUGGAGCUGGAGCCGGGGUACCCCCAGAGCGGGGGGGUGCGACUGCUGCCCCCCCCCAAAGGGGGCCCCCCCCAUCCCUGCACCCCCAGACCCCCCCACUCUGACACGGUGGCUGGAGCUACUGGUGGGGGGGGUCCCUGAAAACGGGGGAUCCCCCUCUAUCCCCCCCCAGUAAAAAGCCCCACUGCACCCCAAUAAACUCACGGCCACCGUUUCUCCAGCUCU
Motacilla alba alba is the source of this 417-nucleotide long non-coding RNA. RefSeq lists it as uncharacterized. Lineage: Eukaryota; Metazoa; Chordata; Aves; Passeriformes; Motacillidae. The record is from RefSeq and is a predicted model, not a curated record. The transcript is spliced from 3 exons.